UACGAAGGGGGCUAGCGUUGUUCGGAUUUACUGGGCGUAAAGCGCACGUAGGCGGAUCGUUAAGUCGGGGGUGAAAUCCUGGAGCUCAACUCCAGAACUGCCUUCGAUACUGGCGAUCUUGAGUCCGGAAGAGGUGAGUGGAACUCCUAGUGUAGAGGUGGAAUUCGUAGAUAUUAGGAAGAACACCAGUGGCGAAGGCGGCUCACUGGUCCGGUACUGACGCUGGAGGUGCGAAAGCGUGGGGAGCAAACAGG
RNAcentral lists this ribosomal RNA (254 nucleotides) under uncultured bacterium. RNAcentral describes it as "partial 16S ribosomal RNA". It matches the Rfam family "Bacterial small subunit ribosomal RNA", at positions 524 to 776 of the family's 1533-position model. The record is from RNAcentral.